Non-coding RNA from Drosophila melanogaster (fruit fly), 1602 nucleotides. NCBI's taxonomy places the organism in Eukaryota, Metazoa, Arthropoda, Insecta, Diptera, Drosophilidae. The record is from Ensembl.
ACCUACCUCGCGCCGGCGUUCUUCUUCGCGUAUCUGCUCUCGCCGCCGCUCCAGCUCCAGCAUCAUUUCGCGCUCCAUCUCAGCCUUGGCGGUCUCAACGCGUCGAUUGACCUCCUGUUCGAUUUCGUCGCGACGCUUUUCUAGCUCCUCCUCGACGCGCUUUUUUACCAGCAUCUCUAUGCGCUUGGCGGCUUCCUCUUCGAUUGUCUUUUGCUCGAGCUCCUUCGCCCGACGCUGCCGCUCCAUCUCGGCCAGGCGUUCGACCUGCAUCUGGUUUUGCUGUAAUGGUAGAUCAUAGUUUAGUUGCUUUCAUCGAAACAGUUGUAUCAUAAGCGCAGCAUGAGUGUCCAUCCCGGAAAAAUGCGUGUAUGGAAUGCGUACCCAUGGAGUGCUCAAGAUGACAGACUAUGGACACUAUCCACUUACCUCAUCCAGCUUCUUAAAGCGGCUGCGCUUCUGUUUGCUACGUUGCGACUCCUGCUCGGAGUACUGACUGUCGCUGCUCGACGAGCUGGAGCGUUUUCGGGAUUUCAGGAUCGAGGGGGAGUGACGGUAGUCGCGCUCAGUGUGUCGGUCGCUGCGGUGUCUAUCCCGCUCGCGGUCCCUGUCCCGUUCGCGAUGUCGUCCAUGGUUGUUCACCUCCGAGGACUUGUCUCUAUCCGUUCUUGUGCUGGGCCGCUCGUGGUCGUGGUGGGACUUACUGCGUUUUUUGUGCUUGCUCUUAUGGUGGCGUCGCUUGCCCGACGGACUGGGUGUACGUGAACGGGAGCCCAUGGUGCUGGAUUGUGUGAUUGUAUAAGAUUUCGAGCUAGUCGAAGGGCUUAACUUGGCUGCCACAACAAAUCAAUGAGAGCGAAUUUAAUUUCUCGAGCAAUUUUCACAGAUGCCUUAAAACAGUGUGCACAACGUUGGCAUACUGGCCUGACAUAAUUCUGGUAUUUUUUUUGAUACGGUAUUUUCUGUGCUUUUUUUAUUUUAAUUUCUGUGUUGCCCAACAUUAGACCGGCAAUUGUUUUCAGUUCACAUUGGUUUGUUUUGAUCUAAAAUCAUUUGGUGGAACUUGUCGAUCAUGACUUGGUUAUCCUUAAAGCCGACGCACUGCUUGGCCUCCUCCUUGGGCAGCCACUUGAGGUCGGUGUGCUCCUCGGAGAGAAUGGGCUCCUGGCAGGGAUUCCGCAGCUCCGCUAGCCAGUAAAUAACAAUCUUCGGCUUGUCUUGCACCUGAUAAUUCAGGGUCAGCGGAGUGUCCUUGUAUAUGAUCAGAUCCUUCUCGUCGUACCUAUGAGAGCAUUUUUGAAAUUAAGCAUGUUUUAAAAGAUAUAUCGUUGUGCACUUUCCCGGCUUCCUCUUUCGUUUCUCGCAGGGCAGUGGUAAAAUCAUCCUCGCCUGGGUCCACAUGUCCCUUGGGAGAACUCCAGUGGAAGGAGCCGUAGGAAGCCUUCAGCAAUAGGUAUUGUAUUUCCCCACAAAGGCGGCGAAAAAUAACAAAACCAGCUGCCUUUUCCAUGUUGUUGCUAUCAAUUAACCGAAACAGGUGUUUGAACAGUGCUCGAAAGUCUCCAAUAACAGUGGUGCUUUUCUAGCUGUUUCCCUCUUUUGCUU